UCCGGUUUAUCACCGGCAGUCUCCAUAGAGUUCUCGCCAUUACACGUUAGUAAUUCCAAGGAUGUCAAACCCUGGUAAGGUUCAUCGGUUAUCAUCGAAUUAAAGAACAUAAUCCACCGCUUGUGCGGCUCCCCGUCAAUUCCUUUAUGUUUUAGUCUUGCGACCGUACUCCACAGGCGGGAUACUUAACGCGUUAGCUUCGCUACUGGAGGGGUCGAUACCUCCAACAGCUAGUAUCCAUCGUUUACGGCGUGGACUAC
This 260-nucleotide unclassified non-coding RNA is filed under the name uncultured bacterium. RNAcentral describes it as "contains 16S-23S intergenic spacer region". The record is from RNAcentral.